This 250-nucleotide ribosomal RNA is filed under the name uncultured bacterium. RNAcentral describes it as "partial 16S ribosomal RNA". It matches the Rfam family "Bacterial small subunit ribosomal RNA", at positions 29 to 306 of the family's 1533-position model. The record is from RNAcentral.
AACGAACGCUGGCGGCAGGCCUAACACAUGCAAGUCGAACGCUGUAGCAAUACAGAGUGGCAGACGGGUGAGUAACGCGUGGGAACAUGCCCUUCGGUUCGGAAUAACUCAGGGAAACUUGAGCUAAUACCGGAUACGCCCUUAGGGGGAAAGAUUUAUUGCCGAAGGAUUGGCCCGCGUCCGAUUAGCUAGUUGGUGAGGUAAAGGCUCACCAAGGCGACGAUCGGUAGCUGGUCUGAGAGGAUGAUCA